GCUUGGGCAAAGGAAAAGUCGCUAUAGCACAUUGUCUUGUUUUGACUUAUGAGUGACCAGAGUGAGAGGGGGAAGGAAGAGGACAGACUGUGAAAUCUGGAAUCUGUGUGUGUGUGUGUGGUGUGAGUCUCUUUCUCUCACGCAUUCAGCAUGCUAAGUGCAGUGAUGGACUGCCAUGUGUCAUAGCGUGACUUGGUAGCUUUGAUUGGUGGAAAAGCAAGGACUCUUUCUGGGCUGGGAUGGAGGAAAGAAGAGAUAAUUUGUUCCUAUCAUGAGAUGACAGGAAGUGUCUGAAUGGAUCCUUGUAAGUUUGUUGAUGGAGCCAACAUUUUGGUGGAUCUGGGCUUUAGUCUUCCUCCGGUUUUGUGAUUUUGCUGUGUUUACCUUGACGUUUUAAAUAUUAACCUGGAAGACUAGACUUUCUUUGAGGUCUGCAAAAAGACUCGCAAGGAUGUGUUCUGUGGUAGUACCAUUCUUCUUAACUUCAAGGAAUAUUUUUAAGUCCUAGAGAAUGGGAUAAACAGUACCAUUUUGGAAGUGGAGUGAGGAUAAGCGGCAUCAGCACGGUCUUAUUGGUGUCUUUCCUAUUAACAUUUACUUCGCGUUGACUGUUUUGUGGCAUGUUGGUUUUUCCAGGCAGACCACAGAAUAUGCAUGACCCCGGAGGAAGGACCCAUAUCCCUGAGGUACAACUCUGUUCUUGUUUAAAAACAAAACACAUCUUAGCGUAAUAAAAUGUCCAAUGGAAUGAAUGGAGGUGGUUGGAUUUUUUCAGGUAAGAAGCUCUCUUGCCCACAAUUUAGUGCAGAGUUGUGCUGUUAAACUGCUGUUACAUACCACUGCAUGAAAAUCUGCAUUUCAGCUAUGAGUGAAGGAUUCUAAUGUAUAUAGUCUGUAAAGCACUUUGGGAAAGAAGGAAAGAAAAUAUUUAGAGCAGCACAAAUCUGAAAAUUAAACUGGGAGAGUUGGGAAAUAUUUUGCCCUUCUAUAGUACAUUCUACCUGAGAAUCUAUAAGAUUACAUUAACAAAUGAAUCCUUACAAUAUCCUUGUAAGGUAGGUAUUUUUACUUGCAUUUUAUCAAUGGGGAAAUGAAACAGAAAUAUUUGUGGGCUCGCUAUGGUCACGUAGCAAGUCAGUCAGUAGCAGACCCAGGAAUAGUAUCCAGCUCUCCUGACUCCUAAUUGUGCGCUUUAACCAUUAUAUUAUGCUCCUUCUGAUGUACAGAUAUAGACUGUACACCUCUGCAUCUUCAGUCUCUUAUUACAAGGUGCCUGCUCUUCCAACAGUUAAAUGUUAGUCAUUAAUGGACAUUGAAAAUAUUUCUUUGGUAGUCUCAGAAUCUGAUUAUCUUGUUCUUUAUAUAAUGAAUAUGCAAAGAUGUUAAAAUAGAUUUCACACUGAUGACACACAUGCUGCCACCCCCUAAGAAUCACUUAGGAAAACUCUAUUGUCCACUGGAGAUCAUGAUCCACUUAAAAUUGACAUUUACACCUGGCUGAGUAGUUAUUGUAUCCAUGCAGUAAUAAUGACUGGCAAGUAGAUGGCGUACCUGCAGCAGGCAGAGUAAGUCUAUGAAGGCCAGGCAAAGGGAUGAAAACAGCAGAGACACCUUGUUGCCUUGACUCCCCCUCUUGCUUGUCAGCAGCUGGACGCCUGACAGAGACCGGGGGAAAAGAGCAACAUGGGAAAGAGGAGGAGGAAUGGCACUGAGCCAGCCUUCAACACAAAGCCCCCAGCGGCAGGCUCAGGCUUUUCCCAGCACAGGGUGUAUGUCCUGCUGGUGACAGCUCCAGCCUGAGAGAGGGAGCCAUCUAGGAGAAGGAAGAAGUAAGGGGGGCGGGGGUCCUAUCCCCCUUGCAGAGUAUAGCUACCUCAUCCCAAAGCCUGCAGCAGCCAGAGGGGCUUUAGCUGCUUGCUGGUGUUUUGUUUUUCCUCUGUGUAAAUGGAUGUAGGACCAAAGGAGAGGUGGAAAUCUCAGUGGCUGCCUCCUGCCUCACAGACAACUGGGGACAAUCAACAAAUAAAGCAGCAGCAGACAAGCCUCACGCUGCUGCUGUUGCCACACAGAGGCUGGCUUCUACAUGCCCACACCCAGACUUACUUUAGUUCCCGUGGCAAGCUGCAAGGCUACAACAUUCUUGUUAGAAACAGGUUUGGUGCAUGUGUGUUGGUGUUGGGAGGGGAACUCUUGGGGGUGGGGGGGGAGAGGACAAGAGCCCAUAGAGCAGCAGUGCUAGGGGACAAGGCCCCUGGUGCUGAGGGGUGGGGACUGAGCUCUUGCUGAAGUUCUGGAGUGGCAGAGCUGUUGUGGCUGGCAGGGGAAGAGCUGUUGCUGCAAGGAGGCUGGUGAGGGCAGAGCUUAGCUACUGGGCUGACCUCCGGUCGCUGCAAGUGGGAACAGAAUUCUUGCUAUUGGUUGGGAGGGGAAAGAGUUUUGCUGCUGCUUGGGUGCUACUGGAGGCCCAUAUCUGGGUGACGAUCUUGACAAAUGACCUGUGUUCCAAUGAACAUUGAAGUGAUACAAUCCUUUGCGGGGGGCUACUGCUCCUGAGAGUUUGGUUUGAGGAGCCAGCUGUGAACAGGAGAUGCUGCUUGUGCUACCAAGCUCCCAUCGUGACUUGAGUAGUAGUUAGCUGACAGCCCUAGCCCACUGGUUGCAGAAGCAAGGAAAAAAGAACUGGAGUACUUGUGGCACCUUAGAGACUAACAAAUUUAUUAGAGCAUAAGCUUUCGUGAACUACAGCCCACUUCUUCGGAUGCAAGGAACAGUCUCUUAUGGAUUCAGUAAAGCUCAUUUCUUACACAUAAAUUUAUCUCAUAAGUUUUCAAAACCAGUAUGAAAUGUGCACAUCUGUAAAGGCACAACCCUCUUAGGACCCACUACAACUGUAAAUUGGUAGCAUUUGAUUGGUAAGAUUUAACAAUAAAACAGAUUUAUCUCCAUUCCUAUGGGACAUGGAUUAAUCUAGACAGAGUUCUCAGUGCUGCUGAAAGGCAGAAAACUCUACUACAUGAAAAGAAUCCAGAUCCUUUGAAAUCCAGUUCUCAGUUUAGAUAUGAUUCUUAGCAUUUGUUUUUUAAAAAAGUUUUAUUUCUGCUUUUAUGAUUAGAUUUAAAAGUAUUUAGUGAAUUAUAUCAUAUAAAAUUACAUGUUAUAUACUUUAAUUUCACUUGUAUUGUGGGGAACAGUGUUGUACAAAUUGUUCUAAAAGUUGUGGCAUUGUAUUCGCUGUAAAAGGAGCAGAGUGAAGUUAGUUCCACUUUAUAUUAAUUUGAAUACUUAAUUUCUAAGCUUUGUAAUGUCUGUAUCUUUUAAGAAAAUUCCAAUAGUUUCUGAAAGAUUUCAACUGAAGUAAGAGAGAGAGUCUUCCACCUUAACUCCAAGUUAAUAAAGUUUCUCUUCUCCCUCCAUUAGAACCGGCUAGCAGGUGAGCUCCAAAUAGAGCAGAGAAGGAGUCAACAGGCGGUGGAGAAGAGCUGAACUCCACUGAAUCUCUGGUCUAGACAUAGGCCACUACAUGAACUAGGCCAUAGGCCACUACAGCGCACAAGCGACCAGGGAGCUUUUGCGAACAGGGGCUGCUAAGGGAGUUUCGCAAGGGAGUUCUCCAGGUGAAGGAGGAGCAAUACAGCACCCUUGGGGUAGGGGCCCAGGCAGAGACAGAUGCAUCAUG
Molecule: non-coding RNA, 3676 nt
Organism: Chrysemys picta bellii (western painted turtle)
Lineage: Eukaryota; Metazoa; Chordata; Testudines; Emydidae
Source: RefSeq, a predicted model, not a curated record